Molecule: ribosomal RNA, 460 nt
Filed under: uncultured bacterium
Lineage: Bacteria
Description: partial 16S ribosomal RNA
Rfam family: Bacterial small subunit ribosomal RNA
Source: RNAcentral
CCUACGGGAGGCAGCAGUGAGGAAUAUUGGUCAAUGGACGAGAGUCUGAACCAGCCAAGUAGCGUGAAGGAUGACUGCCCUCUGGGUGUUAAACUUCUUUUAUAAAGGAAUAAAACGAGGCACGUGUGCCUUUUUGCAUGAACUUUAUGAAUACGGAUCGGCCAACUCGGUGCCAGCGGCGGCGGUAAUACGGAGGGUCCGAUCGUUAUACGGAUUUAUUGGGUUUAAGGGGAGGGUAGAUGGGUGGUUAAGUCAGGUGGGAAUGCUUGCGGCCAAACCGUGAAAUUGCAAUUGAGACUGGCAGGCUGGAGUACAGGUGAGGUAGGAGGAAUUCGUGGUGUAGCGGUGAAAUGCGUAGAUAUCACGAAGAACCCCGAUUGCGAAGGCAGCUUACUAAACUGUGACUGACAUUGAUGCUCGAAAGUGUGGGUAUCAAACAGGAUUAGAUACCCUUGUAGUC